CACUCCUGCGGGAGGCAGCAGUGGGGAAUUUUGGACAAUGGGCGAAAGCCUGAUCCAGCCAUGCCGCGUGCAGGAUGAAGGCCUUCGGGUUGUAAACUGCUUUUGUACGGAACGAAACGGCCUUUUCUAAUAAAGAGGGCUAAUGACGGUACCGUAAGAAUAAGCACCGGCUAACUACGUGCCAGCAGCCGCGGUAAUACGUAGGGUGCAAGCGUUAAUCGGAAUUACUGGGCGUAAAGCGUGCGCAGGCGGUUAUGUAAGACAGUUGUGAAAUCCCCGGGCUCAACCUGGGAACUGCAUCUGUGACUGCAUAGCUAGAGUACGGUAGAGGGGGAUGGAAUUCCGCGUGUAGCAGUGAAAUGCGUAGAUAUGCGGAGGAACACCGAUGGCGAAGGCAAUCCCCUGGACCUGUACUGACGCUCAUGCACGAAAGCGUGGGGAGCAAACAGGAUUAGAAACCCCGGUAGUCCCA
RNAcentral lists this ribosomal RNA (472 nucleotides) under uncultured organism. Its description in RNAcentral is "partial 16S ribosomal RNA". It matches the Rfam family "Bacterial small subunit ribosomal RNA", at positions 334 to 797 of the family's 1533-position model. The record is from RNAcentral.